GAGGAGCCUGCGGCGGAUUAGCUAGUUGGUAGGGUAACGGCUUACCAAGGCGACGAUCCGUAACCGGCCUGAGAGGGCGGUCGGUCACACUGACACUGACAUACGGGUCAGACUCCUACGGGAGGCAGCAGUCGGGAAUUUUGGGCAAUGGGCGAAAGCCUGACCCAGCAACGCCGCGUGAAGGAUGAAAUCCCUCGGGAUGUAAACUUCGCAAGAAUGGGAAGAAUGAGCGAGCGCUAAUACCGUUCGUGGUGACGGUACCAUUUGUAAGCUCCGGCUAACUCCGUGCCAGCAGCCGCGGUAAUACGGGGGGAGCAAGCGUUGUUCGGAUUUACUGGGCGUAAAGGGCGCGUAGGCGGCCAGCGCAAGUCAGUUGUGAAAUCUCCGGGCUUAACUCGGAAAGGUCAACUGAUACUGCGCGGCUAGAGCGCGGAAGGGGCAACUGGGAUUCUCGGUGUAGCGGUGAAAUGCGUAGAUAUCGAGAGG
This 486-nucleotide ribosomal RNA is filed under the name uncultured Acidobacteriota bacterium. Its description in RNAcentral is "bacterial SSU rRNA". It matches the Rfam family "Bacterial small subunit ribosomal RNA", at positions 224 to 704 of the family's 1533-position model. Lineage: Bacteria; Pseudomonadati; Acidobacteriota. The record is from RNAcentral.